RNAcentral lists this ribosomal RNA (489 nucleotides) under uncultured bacterium. RNAcentral's name for it is "partial 16S ribosomal RNA". It matches the Rfam family "Bacterial small subunit ribosomal RNA", at positions 30 to 506 of the family's 1533-position model. The record is from RNAcentral.
AUUGAACGCUGGCGGCAGGCCUAACACAUGCCAGUCGAACGGUAACAGGAAGCAGCUUGCUGCUUUGCUGACGAGUGGCGGACGGGUGAGUAAUGUCUGGGAAACUGCCUGAUGGAGGGGGAUAACUACUGGAAACGGUAGCUAAUACCGCAUAACGUCGCAAGACCAAAGAGGGGGACCUUAGGGCCUCUUGCCAUCGGAUGUGCCCAGAUGGGAUUAGCUAGUAGGUGGGGUAACGGCUCACCUAGGCGACGAUCCCUAGCUGGUCUGAGAGGAUGACCAGCCACACUGGAACUGAGACACGGUCCAGACUCCUACGGGAGGCAGCAGUGGGGAAUAUUGCACAAUGGGCGCAAGCCUGAUGCAGCCAUGCCGCGUGUAUGAAGAAGGCCUUCGGGUUGUAAAGUACUUUCAGCGGGGAGGAAGGGAGUAAAGUUAAGACCUUUGCUCAUUGACGUUACCCGCAGAAGAAGCACCGGCUAACUCCGU